RNAcentral lists this ribosomal RNA (271 nucleotides) under uncultured Staphylococcus sp. RNAcentral's name for it is "partial 16S ribosomal RNA". It matches the Rfam family "Bacterial small subunit ribosomal RNA", at positions 505 to 775 of the family's 1533-position model. Lineage: Bacteria; Bacillati; Bacillota; Bacilli; Caryophanales; Staphylococcaceae. The record is from RNAcentral.
GUGCCAGCAGCCGCGGUAAUACGUAGGUGGCAAGCGUUAUCCGGAAUUAUUGGGCGUAAAGCGCGCGUAGGCGGUUUUUUAAGUCUGAUGUGAAAGCCCACGGCUCAACCGUGGAGGGUCAUUGGAAACUGGAAAACUUGAGUGCAGAAGAGGAAAGUGGAAUUCCAUGUGUAGCGGUGAAAUGCGCAGAGAUAUGGAGGAACAACAGUGGCGAAGGCGACUUUCUGGUCUGUAACUGACGCUGAUGUGCGAAAGCGUGGGGAUCAAACAG